UGCAAGUCGAACGGUGAAGAGGAGCUUGCUCCUCGGAACAGUGGCGGACGGGUGAGUAACACGUGAGCAACCUGGCUCUAAGAGGGGGACAACAGUUGGAAACGACUGCUAAUACCGCAUAACGUACCGGGAUGGCAUCUUCCUGAUACCAAAGAUUUUAUCGCUUAGAGAUGGGCUCGCGUCUGAUUAGAUAGUUGGCGGGGUAACGGCCCACCAAGUCGACGAUCAGUAGCCGGACUGAGAGGUUGAACGGCCACAUUGGGACUGAGACACGGCCCAGACUCCUACGGGAAGGCAGCAGUGGGGGAUAUUGGACAAUGGGGGCAACCCUGAUCCAGCGACGCCGC
Molecule: ribosomal RNA, 347 nt
Filed under: uncultured bacterium
Lineage: Bacteria
Description: bacterial SSU rRNA
Rfam family: Bacterial small subunit ribosomal RNA
Source: RNAcentral